GGGAGUAUAGCUCAGUGGCAGAGCACAUGACUACAAAUCAAGAGGUCCUCGGUUCAAAUCCAGCUGCCCCUU
RNAcentral lists this transfer RNA (72 nucleotides) under Oryctolagus cuniculus (rabbit). It matches the Rfam family "tRNA". Rfam says of the family: Transfer RNA (tRNA) molecules are approximately 80 nucleotides in length. Their secondary structure includes four short double-helical elements and three loops (D, anti-codon, and T loops). The record is from Rfam by way of RNAcentral. Lineage: Eukaryota; Metazoa; Chordata; Mammalia; Lagomorpha; Leporidae.